UGACGGCCUUCGGGUUGUAAACCUCUUUCAGUAGGGAAGAAGCGAAAGUGACGGUACCUGCAGAAGGAGCGCCGGCUAACUACGUGCCAGCAGCCGCGGUAAUACGUAGGGCGCAAGCGUUAUCCGGAAUUAUUGGGCGUAAAGAGCUCGUAGGCGGUUUGUCGCGUCUGCCGUGAAAGUCCGGGGCUCAACUCCGGAUCUGCGGUGGGUACGGGCAGACUAGAGUGAUGUAGGGGAGACUGGAAUUCCUGGUGUAGCGGUGAAAUGCGCAGAUAUCAGGAGGAACACCGAUGGCGAAGGCAGGUCUCUGGGCAUUAACUGACGCUGAGGAGCGAAAGCAUGGGGAGCGAACAGGAUUAGAUACCCUGGUAGUCCAUGCCGUAAACGUUGGGCACUAGGUGUGGGGGACAUUCCACGUUUUCCGCGCCGUAGCUAACGCAUUAAGUGCCCCGCCUGGGGAGUACGGCCGCAAGGCUAAAACUCAAAGGAAUUGACGGGGGCCCGCACAAGCGGCGGAGCAUGCGGAUUAAUUCGAUGCAACGCGAAGAACCUUACCAAGGCUUGACAUGAACCGGUAACGCCUGGAGACAGGUGCCCCGCUUGCGGUCGGUUUACAGGUGGUGCAUGGUUGUCGUCAGCUCGUGUCGUGAGAUGUUGGGUUAAGUCCCGCAACGAGCGCAACCCUCGUUCUAUGUUGCCAGCACGUG
RNAcentral lists this ribosomal RNA (707 nucleotides) under uncultured Arthrobacter sp. RNAcentral describes it as "bacterial SSU rRNA". It matches the Rfam family "Bacterial small subunit ribosomal RNA", at positions 409 to 1127 of the family's 1533-position model. Lineage: Bacteria; Bacillati; Actinomycetota; Actinomycetes; Micrococcales; Micrococcaceae. The record is from RNAcentral.